CCUACGGGUGGCAGCAGUGAGGAAUAUUGGUCAAUGGGCGAGAGCCUGAACCAGCCAAGUCGCGUGAGGGAAGAAGGUACUAAGGAUUGUAAACCUCUUUUGUCAGGGAGCAAGGACUGCCACGAGUGGUCCGGCGAGAGUACCUGAAGAAAAAGCAUCGGCUAACUCCGUGCCAGCAGCCGCGGUAAUACGGAGGAUGCGAGCGUUAUCCGGAUUUAUUGGGUUUAAAGGGUGCGCAGGCGGAAGCGGUAAGUCAGCGGUAAAAUGGCGGGGCCAAAACUCGCCGAGCCGUUGAAACUGCCAGUCUAGAGUGGGAGAGAAGUAUGAGGAAUGCGUGGUGUAGCGGUGAAAUGCAUAGAGAUCGCGCAGAACUCCGAUUGCGAAGGCAGCAUACCGGCGCCCAACUGACGCUCAGGCACGAAAGCGUGGGUAUCGAACAGGAUGAGAUACCCCUGUAGUC
Molecule: ribosomal RNA, 460 nt
Filed under: uncultured bacterium
Lineage: Bacteria
Description: partial 16S ribosomal RNA
Rfam family: Bacterial small subunit ribosomal RNA
Source: RNAcentral